Molecule: ribosomal RNA, 253 nt
Filed under: uncultured bacterium
Lineage: Bacteria
Description: partial 16S ribosomal RNA
Rfam family: Bacterial small subunit ribosomal RNA
Source: RNAcentral
UACAGAGGGGGCAAGCGUUGUUCGGAAUUACUGGGCGUAAAGGGCGCGUAGGCGGCCUCUUAAGUCGAACGUGAAAUCCCCGGGCUCAACCCGGGAACUGCGUCCGAUACUGGGAGGCUUGAAUCCGGGAGAGGGAUGUGGAAUUCCAGGUGUAGCGGUGAAAUGCGUAGAUAUCUGGAGGAACACCGGUGGCGAAGGCGGCAUCCUGGACCGGUAUUGACGCUGAGGCGAGAAAGCUAGGGGAGCAAACGGG